ACGUAGGAUGCAAGCGUUGUUCGGAAUUACUGGGCGUAAAGAGUGCGUAGGCGGUUACGUAAGUCUGACAUUAAAAACCGGAGCUCAACUCCGGGGCUGUGUUGGAAACUGUGUAACUAGAGGACAAUAGAGGAAGUCGGAAUUCUCAGUGUAGCGGUGAAAUGCGUAGAUAUUGGGAAGAACACCAGUGGCGAAAGCGGACUUCUGGGUUGUUACUGACGCUGAGGUACGAAAGCGUGGGGAGCAAACGGGA
RNAcentral lists this ribosomal RNA (253 nucleotides) under uncultured prokaryote. RNAcentral describes it as "partial 16S ribosomal RNA". It matches the Rfam family "Bacterial small subunit ribosomal RNA", at positions 525 to 777 of the family's 1533-position model. The record is from RNAcentral.